This is a long non-coding RNA of Penaeus indicus, 1504 nucleotides long. RefSeq lists it as uncharacterized. The transcript is spliced from 4 exons. The record is from RefSeq and is a predicted model, not a curated record. Lineage: Eukaryota; Metazoa; Arthropoda; Malacostraca; Decapoda; Penaeidae.
GGGUACAAGUAUACAGAGGAAAACACCAAGUGAGGAAAACUUAACAAAACACAAAAGCCAGAGUUAAGUGACGGCAGCUGAGCAGCGCAGGUCCCAUGCUUCUUCCACUCAUGGCUCCAGAGGGAAGUGCGCGAGUCCUCUCCAAAAAUGUUGCCCCAAUACUUUAUCAAGUAAGGCUCAAUGUUGAGGAUUUCGGACUCCUGGAAAUCCCAUGACUUGUUGCAGUAAUUUGGGCCGAUUGUGCCUAAUUUUGUGGGCCUGAAAAAGGGGUGUAAUGUCAGAAAAUAAAUCUGGAAAAGAAAGAAAAAAGAAGAGGAAGAGAGAGAGAAAUAAAAAGACCCAGAGUGUAAAAAAAUGGCAUGAAUGUACGAAAAGAAAAGGCUAGAAAAGAUAAACGUAUCUGAAGAUAAAUAUGGAAGAAUGGAAGUGGAAGUGUUAAGUCUGGGGAUAAAAAAAAGUAAAAGAAGUAAAGUGCGGAUAAUUAUGAAACAGGUGUAAUACCUAUGAAGACUAUGGAUAAGUAUGAGGUGCAAAAUCUGUGGAUAAGCAUGAAAACAUGAAAAGUCGAUGGCUAGCUAAAUAAAGGGCUGAGGCUUAUGGAUGGAGCAAAAAAGUGCAAAGUCUAUUGAUAACUAUGAAAAAGCUGCAAGAUUUUUGGCCGAAAAUGAAAUAGUUGUUAAGCCUCUGGGUAAAUUAACAGGUUUAUAGUCCAGGGCCAGAUGCAGAGGUAAAAUGAAUAAAUAUAGAAUAGUAUAAAGACUAGAUACUGGAAGUAAGAAAGUGUAACAUCCACGGAUGGUUUUGUAAAAGCUGUAAAUUUUGAAAAGAAGUGGAAGUGACAAAAUUACUGAAAGAAUAUCAACUUCCAUAGCUGAAGCGCAGAUAUGCAUUUUCCCAUUACUGAGUGAAUCUAGUAAACUCACUGAUGCAAUAUGCUGCAUGUGUAAAAAUGUGAUAUAAAAUAUAGAAUGGCAGAUGGACAGAGAAAACGGUUAUGCUGUUAUACAGGAAAAAGAAAAAUGGUCAUCUUCUACUAAGUAACAGAAGCUUUUAAGCGUCCCCAGAGGCGCCGCUAACUGCCCUGAAGGAUUAGAGCAGCUGCAGGACUGACCUGCGUUGACCCGCUGAGGUCACUCGUCAAGGAGUGUCUACCAGUCAGCCAUUGUGAAUCUCAGACAACAGUCACAGGAUGCAGUCAGGCUGGAGAAACUGGAGUAAUGUCCUUCGCGUGAAAAGAAAACUGGUAUGCGCGCGCAGGGACACCAGAGGAGCGGCGCCGAUUCUCGAGCUCCAGGAGCAGGGACCUGGCGAGGCGGAAAGGCGAGUAAUGACAGAAUCCGUGGAGCAACAAAGAUAUUGGAAAAUAUCAAGGAAAAUCGAGGAAGGAAGAGUGAGAUGGUACGCCCGUGUGAUGCGGAGAGAUGGAAAUUUGUGGGGAAACGAGUUCUUGCUAUUAAUGCAUCACUGUUAUCAGUAUCACCAUUAUCAUUAUUAUUAUAAUUAU